GCUUUAUCAGAGCUCAAUUGUACUAGUGAAUCAAGUGGUGAGAGGUCAGUUAGUGAAUUAGACCAAUUAGAGCUUGUACAGUUAAAUUAUCUGUCUUAUUACCUACUGAUAAACAGCCUUGCCAUAUCUUUGCUCAGAUGAUGAAGCUUAGAAGUGUUUUAUGAGGACAAGAAGUCUCAGAAACCUUUCUUCAGAAGGGGAUAUCUUUGCUCUACUCAUGAAAAUGAGGACAAACUCUUCACAGCAUGAGAUAGUGAAGAUGAUUGUGGGACUGAAAAUAUCAUUAGACAAGACACUGGCAAGAUGAUAAUCUUCUGACUUUUUGUCUCACUUUCUUAAUAGUUGUAAUUUAAAUAAUUAAAACUAAAAGAAUUUUGACAACAGUUACUUAUUUCCAUUCAUUUACAUUUUUUACUGUGUACUUUCAUAAUUGCUUAACAGAAUAACAUGGUACUGCUCAGCUAGUUU
RNAcentral lists this long non-coding RNA (468 nucleotides) under Numida meleagris (helmeted guineafowl). Its description in RNAcentral is "lncRNA (ENSNMEG00000006513.1)". The record is from RNAcentral. Lineage: Eukaryota; Metazoa; Chordata; Aves; Galliformes; Numididae.